RNAcentral lists this ribosomal RNA (1042 nucleotides) under Staphylococcus aureus. RNAcentral's name for it is "partial 23S ribosomal RNA". It matches the Rfam family "Bacterial large subunit ribosomal RNA", at positions 260 to 1305 of the family's 2925-position model. The record is from RNAcentral. Lineage: Bacteria; Bacillati; Bacillota; Bacilli; Caryophanales; Staphylococcaceae.
GGGAAGAGCCCAAACCAACAAGCUUGCUUGUUGGGGUUGUAGGACACUCUAUACGGAGUUACAAAGGACGACAUUAGACGAAUCAUCUGGAAAGAUGAAUCAAAGAAGGUAAUAAUCCUGUAGUCGAAAAUGUUGUCUCUCUUGAGUGGAUCCUGAGUACGACGGAGCACGUGAAAUUCCGUCGGAAUCUGGGAGGACCAUCUCCUAAGGCUAAAUACUCUCUAGUGACCGAUAGUGAACCAGUACCGUGAGGGAAAGGUGAAAAGCACCCCGGAAGGGGAGUGAAAUAGAACCUGAAACCGUGUGCUUACAAGUAGUCAGAGCCCGUUAAUGGGUGAUGGCGUGCCUUUUGUAGAAUGAACCGGCGAGUUACGAUUUGAUGCAAGGUUAAGCAGUAAAUGUGGAGCCGUAGCGAAAGCGAGUCUGAAUAGGGCGUUUAGUAUUUGGUCGUAGACCCGAAACCAGGUGAUCUACCCUUGGUCAGGUUGAAGUUCAGGUAACACUGAAUGGAGGACCGAACCGACUUACGUUGAAAAGUGAGCGGAUGAACUGAGGGUAGCGGAGAAAUUCCAAUCGAACCUGGAGAUAGCUGGUUCUCUCCGAAAUAGCUUUAGGGCUAGCCUCAAGUGAUGAUUAUUGGAGGUAGAGCACUGUUUGGACGAGGGGCCCCUCUCGGGUUACCGAAUUCAGACAAACUCCGAAUGCCAAUUAAUUUAACUUGGGAGUCAGAACAUGGGUGAUAAGGUCCGUGUUCGAAAGGGAAACAGCCCAGACCACCAGCUAAGGUCCCAAAAUAUAUGUUAAGUGGAAAAGGAUGUGGCGUUGCCCAGACAACUAGGAUGUUGGCUUAGAAGCAGCCAUCAUUUAAAGAGUGCGUAAUAGCUCACUAGUCGAGUGACACUGCGCCGAAAAUGUACCGGGGCUAAACAUAUUACCGAAGCUGUGGAUUGUCCUUUGGACAAUGGUAGGAGAGCGUUCUAAGGGCGUUGAAGCAUGAUCGUAAGGACAUGUGGAGCGCUUAGAAGUGAGAAUGCCGGUGUGA